This 465-nucleotide ribosomal RNA is filed under the name Triticum aestivum (bread wheat). Its description in RNAcentral is "partial small subunit ribosomal RNA". Lineage: Eukaryota; Viridiplantae; Streptophyta; Magnoliopsida; Poales; Poaceae. The record is from RNAcentral.
UGGUGAGGACGCGGUUGUUUGUAGUGUGGUUUCUACCGGUACCGCCGCUUUUGGGUCGAACAGAACACGUACGAGCACCGGAAGAAGAAGGAGGAGGAGCGGUACCUCCAACGACGGCGAUCCCUUGAUCUCCUUUGUCCACUAGGGAUGUUCCCGAGCAUAGGAAGUUACCCAAUAGGUUGACCUGGCGGUGGUAUUAAGUACCCAGGGCCCCUUAUGAAUAUCAUGAGAUGUUGUAUAAAUAUGUAUGUGCGUACAAGAAUCAAAGUACUCUUUAUUUGCUAUACAUAGAUAUAUACAUAUGCAUACGUCCACAGUCUCUUUUACAAACAUGGAUGCUCACCUAAUUAUGUACAAAGAAGGUGUAGUACUGACAAUUUGAACAUACUGGUACGUACGCACAUACAGGUAGGAAAAGAAGCAUGUUAACGUAUACGACCUACUUUGCUAACCAGGAACGCGCGG